UGGGGAAUUUUGGACAAUGGGGGAAACCCUGAUCCAGCCAUCCCGCGUGUGCGAUGAAGGCCUUCGGGUUGUAAAGCACUUUUGGCAGGAAAGAAACGUCGCGGGUUAAUACCCCGCGAAACUGACGGUACCUGCAGAAUAAGCACCGGCUAACUACGUGCCAGCAGCCGCGGUAAUACGUAGGGUGCAAGCGUUAAUCGGAAUUACUGGGCGUAAAGCGUGCGCAGGCGGUUCGGAAAGAAAGAUGUGAAAUCCCAGAGCUUAACUUUGGAACUGCAUUUUUAACUACCGGGCUAGAGUGUGUCAGAGGGAGGUGGAAUUCCGCGUGUAGCAGUGAAAUGCGUAGAUAUGCGGAGGAACACCGAUGGCGAAGGCAGCCUCCUGGGAUAACACUGACGCUCAUGCACGAAAGCGUGGGGAGCAAACAGGAUUAGAUACCCUGGUAGUCCACGCCCUAAACGAUGUCAACUAGCUGUUGGGGCCUUCGGGCCUUGGUAGCGCAGCUAACGCGUGAAGUUGACCGCCUGGGGAGUACGGUCGCAAGAUUAAAACUUAAAGGAAUUGACGGGGUGC
This 573-nucleotide ribosomal RNA is filed under the name uncultured bacterium. RNAcentral's name for it is "partial 16S ribosomal RNA". It matches the Rfam family "Bacterial small subunit ribosomal RNA", at positions 355 to 921 of the family's 1533-position model. The record is from RNAcentral.